AGUAGUUGAUCAGUGGCUACGAGGACGAACGCUGGCGGCGUGCCUAACACAUGCAAGUCGAACGAGGUCCAAGGAAGCUUGCUUCCUGAAGACCUAGUGGCGAACGGGUGAGUAACACGUGAGAAACCUGCCUCGGAGUGGGGAAUAACUCGGGGAAACUCGAGCUAAUACCGCAUACCUUCACAUGAUCGCAUGGUCGAGUGAAGAAAGAAUUUCGCUCUGAGAGGGUCUCGCGGCCUAUCAGCUUGUUGGUGGGGUAACGGCCUACCAAGGCAACGACGGGUAGCUGGUUUGAGAGAACGAUCAGCCACACUGGGACUGAGACACGGCCCAGACUCCUACGGGAGGCAGCAGCGGGGAAUCUUGCGCAAUGGGCGAAAGCCUGACGCAGCAACGCCGCGUGCGGGAUGACGGCCUUCGUGGUUGUAAACCGCUUUCAGCAGGGACGAAAAUGACGGUACCUGCAGAAGAAGCCCCGGCUAACUACGUG
This 490-nucleotide ribosomal RNA is filed under the name uncultured bacterium. RNAcentral describes it as "bacterial SSU rRNA". It matches the Rfam family "Bacterial small subunit ribosomal RNA", at positions 1 to 507 of the family's 1533-position model. The record is from RNAcentral.